Long non-coding RNA from Tripterygium wilfordii, 1041 nucleotides. RefSeq lists it as uncharacterized. The transcript is spliced from 2 exons. NCBI's taxonomy places the organism in Eukaryota, Viridiplantae, Streptophyta, Magnoliopsida, Celastrales, Celastraceae. The record is from RefSeq and is a predicted model, not a curated record.
CUCUCUACCGGUAAAAACUGCUGAUGUGUACAUUAUUUUCUGACUUGGCUUUAAUAUAAAAUAAAUGUAAAAUGUGACAUGGUUAAAAAAAUAAAAUUAAAACAUAAAAGAAAAACUAAAUAGAUGAAAAAACAUGGCCGAUUCAAAUAUCCUGCUCCGAUUUCCUCCCAAACCUUCCCAAUAAUCCCUUCUACGCCAACCCAGUCUCCACUGCUCAGUUCGACUCUUGUUCUGAUAUCGUUCGUGGGUCAAUUGAGGAUUUCUACUUUUGGAGAUCGGAAGAUGAGAGUCAAGAUUCGAUCUUGAUGAAUCUCGUAGACGACUGGUUGGGUUUCGUAGAUCCGACAAAUUCGUUUCUAGAUCCAAGAAUCCCAGGCGAUGGGAAGGCAGAGAAGUUAAAGCAUUCAAUGACUUCAAGUUCCCGUAUGAAGCUAUGGUUGAUUCCAGUCGCUACGGCAUGGCUAUGGUUAUGUGUUGUUUUGUUGAUGGCACUUGGAGAGAUGUUAGGGGCGAGAUUAUUGAAGAGAUGGGUUUGUUUCUUGCCUUAAUCAUACUGAUUUCUCUGCUGGCCAAAGUUGCUCUCCCCCAAUGAGUGAGUUCAAGAUUGAGAUUGCACGUGAUGAAGAUGAUGGGGUGGGACGCAAGGGGCUGAGGUCAAACAGAUCAAUACGACAUUGCCACGUGGAAUAUCAUUACAAAAUUAAAAUAUACACAUCAUUAGUUAACAGCCACCUCAUCUCUUUUAUGAGGGAAAAGUGGUCCGAGGGCUAAUGUGAAUCGAUUCUUGAAGUUGAAGGGUUGAUUUGAUACGAAAAAAAGAUUAAGGGCUCAAGUGACCUUUUUUUGGUAAUUCAAGGGCUUCCCUGAUACUUAUCCCUUUAUUUAUUUUUUAAAUUGAAAAAAAAAGUGCUGAAUAUGUUACGGUUUGAAAAUAUUAAUGGCUUGAAAUCAAAAUUUAUCUGAGUCUUUGCUAAUGUUAGGAUUUUUUUAUAAGAUGUAUGAUUCAUUUUGUCUAAUUUAGUAAACUUAUUUUCCCGCUGA